This 564-nucleotide ribosomal RNA is filed under the name Chlorarachnion reptans. Its description in RNAcentral is "eukaryotic LSU rRNA". The stretch from base 165 to 326 matches the Rfam family "5.8S ribosomal RNA". Lineage: Eukaryota; Cercozoa; Chlorarachniophyceae. The record is from RNAcentral.
UGUAGGUGUUCCUGCAGAAGGAUCACCGAGUAAGGAUCGAUGUCCAACCGGAUGUAGGAUCCCUGGGUUGUCACUAUAGUUUGAUUUCCUUGGGAUCUUGUACCUCAUGAUCACAUGCUUACUGUUGAAUGCGCAAGGCAGACGAAUCUGUCAAUCGACACAGAAAACUUCAAUGAUGGAUGUCUAGGCUCUCGUAUCGAUGAAGAACGUAGCAACGAGCGAUACCAUAUGAUACGCGCUGCUUUCGUGAAUCAUUGAGUCUUCGAACGCAUCUUGCGCUCAUGGUUCGAGCCUGUGGAAGGCUGAGCAUGCCCUAUGAAGUGACGCUUGCGGAAAUCCCUGUAAUCCUCGUCCAGACCCGUUUCGAUGGGUUUGGUUCUGAAGAUACAGGCAUAUCCGCCACCGAGCACUGGUGCCUGGUGGCGGGAAGGUGUCGUGGAUCAACACCACCAACCCGCCUCUCUUGGAGAGUGAGGGUCCUCAUCGUCGAGUCCUUCGUAGAGAGGCAAGACUACCCGCUGAACUUAAGCAUAUCAUUAAGCCGAGGAAAAGAAACUAACAAGA